Molecule: ribosomal RNA, 119 nt
Filed under: Pteropus alecto (black flying fox)
Lineage: Eukaryota; Metazoa; Chordata; Mammalia; Chiroptera; Pteropodidae
Source: RNAcentral
GUCUACAGCCAUGCCACCCUGAAUAUGCCCGAUCUCUUCUGAUCUUGGAAGCUAAGCGCAGUCGGGCCUGGUUAGUACUUGGAUGGGAGACCACCUAGGAAUACCAGGUGCUAUAGGCA